Molecule: ribosomal RNA, 765 nt
Filed under: uncultured Bacteroidota bacterium
Lineage: Bacteria; Pseudomonadati; Bacteroidota
Description: bacterial SSU rRNA
Rfam family: Bacterial small subunit ribosomal RNA
Source: RNAcentral
GGGUCCUUCGGGACCCUAGUAGAGUGGCGAACGGGUGCGUAACACGUAGGUAACCUGCCCUCGAGCGGGGGAUAACUACCGGAAACGGUAGCUAAUACCGCAUGAAGACUGGAGGUCGCAUGACCACCAGUUGAAAGCCUUCGGGCGCUCAAGGAUGGGCCUGCGGCGGAUUAGCUAGUUGGUGAGGUAACAGCUCACCAAGGCAACGAUCCGUAGCUGGUCUGAGAGGAUGAUCAGCCACACUGGCACUGAGACACGGGCCAGACUCCUACGGGAGGCAGCAGUGAGGAAUCUUGCGCAAUGGACGAAAGUCUGACGCAGCCACGCCGCGUGAAGGAAGACACCCCUAUGGGGCGUAAACUUCUUUUCUACGGGAAGAACACCCUGCUUGGCAGGGUCUGACGGUACCGUGGGAAUAAGCACCGGCUAACUCCGUGCCAGCAGCCGCGGUAAUACGGAGGGUGCAAGCGUUGUCCGGAAUCACUGGGUGUAAAGGGUGUGUAGGCGGGACAGUAAGUCAGAGGUGAAAUCCUGCGGCUCAACCGUAGAAUUGCCUUUGAUACUACUGAUCUUGAGUCCUGGAGAGGUCGUUAGAAUUCGUGGUGUAGCGGUGAAAUGCGUAGAUAUCACGAGGAAUACCAGAGGUGUAGACGGACGACUGGACAGGUACUGACGCUGAGGCACGAAAGCGUGGGGAGCAAACAGGAUUAGAUACCCUGGUAGUCCACGCUGUAAACGAUGGAUGCUCGGUGUUGCCCCGCUCUU